Molecule: non-coding RNA, 446 nt
Organism: Chinchilla lanigera (long-tailed chinchilla)
Lineage: Eukaryota; Metazoa; Chordata; Mammalia; Rodentia; Chinchillidae
Source: the annotation of a RefSeq genome assembly
UGUCGUGCUGAAUAAAGCUCUGGUUUCUUUCAGUGAUGUGUUUCUACGAGCGCUCACUCGGGCUAUAUCACAAACAAGGAUCAUUUUCUUUUUCUAACAUGCUUUCUGUCAUCUGCUCUAUUCUUGUGAUACUCUUAACAUCCAGGUGGAGCCAUGGAGACUCAGUGACCCAGACAGAAGGUCCAGUCAUUCUCUCAGAGAGGGCCCCUCUGACCCUGAACUGCACGUACGAGACUACUUAUUCAGCUUCCUUCCUUUGCUGGUAUGUCCAGUAUUCCCACGCAGCUCCGCGGCUCCUCCUGAGGAGUGCGACAGAAAACCAGCGGGCCGAGAACCAAGGCUUUCAGGCUACUCUCGUCAAGAGCCAGCGCUCCUUCCACCUGCAGAAAGCCUCACUCCAGUUGUCAGACUCUGCCCUGUACUACUGUGCCCUGGAGACACAGUGA